Molecule: small nucleolar RNA, 111 nt
Filed under: Vanderwaltozyma polyspora DSM 70294
Lineage: Eukaryota; Fungi; Ascomycota; Saccharomycetes; Saccharomycetales; Saccharomycetaceae
Description: Small nucleolar RNA snR60/Z15/Z230/Z193/J17
Rfam family: Small nucleolar RNA snR60/Z15/Z230/Z193/J17
About the family: The members of this family belong to the C/D class of snoRNAs which contain the C (UGAUGA) and D (CUGA) box motifs. Most of the members of the box C/D family function in directing site-specific 2'-O-methylation of substrate RNAs.
Source: Rfam by way of RNAcentral
UUAUUUAACAUGAUGAUAAAAUUAAGUUGCAUAGUUCAACUGAUUUUCUUUUAAACGUGAAGAUAAAAAUUUCCAUCGAAUUUAGUCUUUCGCUCCUAUCUGAUUAUUAUU